UAACCUGCGGAGGGAUCAUUACACAAUAAAAUAUGAAGGCUGUACGCGGCUGUGCUCUCGGGCCAGUUUUGCGGAGGCUGAAUUAUUUAUUACCCUUGUCUUUUGCGCACUUGUUGUUUCCUGGGCGGGUUCGCCCGCCACCAGGACCACAUCAUAAACCUUUUUUAUGCAGUUGCAAUCAGCGUCAGUAUAACAAAUGUAAAUCAUUUACAACUUUCAACAACGGAUCUCUUGGUUCUGGCAUCGAUGAAGAACGCAGCGAAAUGCGAUACGUAGUGUGAAUUGCAGAAUUCAGUGAAUCAUCGAAUCUUUGAACGCACAUUGCGCCCUUUGGUAUUCCAAAGGGCAUGCCUGUUCGAGCGUCAUUUGUACCCUCAAGCUUUGCUUGGUGUUGGGCGUUUUUUGUCUUUGGUUGCCAAAGACUCGCCUUAAAAGGAUUGGCAGCCGGCCUACUGGUUUCGCAGCGCAGCACAUUUUUGCGCUUGCAAUCAGCAAAAGAGGACGGCAAUCCAUCAAGACUCCUUCUCACGUUNGACCUCGGAUCAGGUAGGGAUACCCGCUGAACUUAAGCAUAUCAAA
Molecule: ribosomal RNA, 579 nt
Filed under: Curvularia lunata
Lineage: Eukaryota; Fungi; Ascomycota; Dothideomycetes; Pleosporales; Pleosporaceae
Description: eukaryotic LSU rRNA
Rfam family: 5.8S ribosomal RNA (bases 212-365)
Source: RNAcentral